RNAcentral lists this ribosomal RNA (372 nucleotides) under uncultured organism. RNAcentral describes it as "bacterial SSU rRNA". It matches the Rfam family "Bacterial small subunit ribosomal RNA", at positions 526 to 896 of the family's 1533-position model. The record is from RNAcentral.
CGGGGGGGGUAAGCGUUGUUCGGAACUACUGGGCGUAAAGGGCUCGUAGGCGGCCAACUAAGUCAUACGUGAAAUCCCUCAGCUUAACUGGGGAACUGCGUGUGAUACUGGAUGGCUUGGAUUUGGGAGAGGGAUGCGGAAUUCCAGGUGUAGCGGUGAAAUGCGUAGAUAUCUGGAGGAACACCGGUGGCGAAGGCGGCAUCCUGGACCAAUAUUGACGCUGAGGAGCGAAAGCCAGGGGAGCAAACGGGAUUAGAUACCCCGGUAGUCCUGGCCCUAAACGAUGAAUGCUUGGUGUAGCGGGUAUCGAUCCCUGCUGUGCCGAAGCUAACGCAUUAAGCAUUCCGCCUGGGGAGUACGGUCGCAAGGCUG